CUUUUCGAGGUAGGAGUCGACUCCUGUGAGGUAUGGUGCUGGGUGCAGAUGCAGUGUGGCUCUGGAUAGCACCUUAUGGACAGUUGUGUCCCCAAGGAAGGAUGAGAAUAGCUACUGAAGUCCUAAAGAGCAAGCCUAACUCAAGCCAUUGGCACACAGGCAUUAGACAGAAAGCUGGAAGUUGAAAUGGUGGAGUCCAACUUGCCUGGACCAGCUUAAUGGUUCUGCUCCUGGUAACGUUUUUAUCCAUGGAUGACUUGCUUGGGUAUGGAGAGUCGGCUUGACUACACUGUGUGGAGCAAGUUUUAAAGAAGCAAAGGCAGACCUGUUAUCCUAAACUAGGGUUUUUAAUGACCACAACAAGCAAGCAUGCAGCUUACUGCUUGAAAGGGUCUUGCCUCACCCAAGCUAGAGUGCAGUGGCCUUUGAAGCUUACUACAGCCUCAAACUUCUGGGCUCAAGUGAUCCUCAGCCUCCCAGUGGUCUUUGUAGACUGCCUGAUGGAGUCUCAUGGCACAAGAAGAUUAAAACAGUGUCUCCAAUUUUAAUAAAUUUUUGCAAUCCA
This 565-nucleotide long non-coding RNA is filed under the name Homo sapiens (human). Its description in RNAcentral is "growth arrest specific 5, transcript variant 15 (GAS5)". The record is from RNAcentral. Lineage: Eukaryota; Metazoa; Chordata; Mammalia; Primates; Hominidae.